Molecule: non-coding RNA, 135 nt
Organism: Triticum urartu
Lineage: Eukaryota; Viridiplantae; Streptophyta; Magnoliopsida; Poales; Poaceae
Source: Rfam
UUUGUAUUCUCUCUGUUCCGAAUUACUUAUCUUGGAUUUGUCUAAAUACAGAUGUAUCUAGACUCAUUUUAAUACUAGAUACUUCCGUAUCUAGACAAAUCUAAAACAAGUAAUUUGAAACGGAGAAAGUAGUUA